Long non-coding RNA from Oncorhynchus keta (chum salmon), 1278 nucleotides. RefSeq lists it as uncharacterized. The record is from RefSeq and is a predicted model, not a curated record. The transcript is spliced from 4 exons. NCBI's taxonomy places the organism in Eukaryota, Metazoa, Chordata, Actinopteri, Salmoniformes, Salmonidae.
UAUAGUUUUACUGUUGUAUAAACUCAUAAAGUUAAUCUAGGCCUACUGUUGUAUAAACUCAUGCAUAAGGUUGAUCUAGUUUUACUGUUGUAUAAACUCACGAAUAAGGUUGUGGAUUUGCUCUAAUCUAUAGAAAGCCAGGCUUGCUAAGACGGUGUUUGGAUGUUGGAACCUGGAUCCAUCCCAGCCUUAUUGUCACAUCCUGACCAUAGUUUGCUCUGUAUGUUUCUAUGUUUUGGUUGGUCAGGGUGUGACCUGAGUGGGCAUUCUAUUUUACAUGUCUAGUUUGUCUAGUUCUAUGUUUGGCCUGAUAUGGUUCUCAAUCAGAGGCAGGUGUUAGUCAUUGUCUCUGAUUGGGAACCAUAUUUAGGUAGCCUGUUUGGUGUUGGGUUUUGUGGGUGAUUGUUCCUGUCUCUGUGUUUGCACCAGAUAGGGCUGUUUUAGGUUUUCACGGUUCUUGUUUUUGUUAGUCUGUUCAUGUAUAGUUUUCUUCAUUAAAUAACCAUGAAUAGAAACCACGCUGUGUUUUGGUCUGACUCUCCUUCAAGUCAAGAAAACCAUUACUUAUGUUUGGAUGUUGGAAGGCAGUGUAUAGGUUUAGAUGGAUCCAGGUUAUGUUUGGAUGUUGGAAGGCAGGGUAUAGGUUUAGAUGGAUCCAGGUUAUGUUUGGAUGUUGGAAGGCAGGGUAUAGGUUUAGAUGGAUCCAGGUUAUGUUUGGAUGUUGGAAGGCAGGGUAUAGGUUUAGAUGGAUCCAGGUUAUGUUUGGAUGUUGGAAGGCAGGGUAUAGGUUUAGAUGGAUCCAGGUUAUGUUUGGAUGUUGGAAGGCAGGGUAUAGGUUUAGAUGGAUCCAGGUUAUGUUUGGAUGUUGGAAGGCAGUGUAUAGGUUUAGAUGGAUCCAGGUUAUGUUUGGAUGUUGGAAGGCAGGGUAUAGGUUUAGAUGGAUCCAGGUUAUGUUUGGAUGUUGGAAGGCAGGGUAUAGGUUUAGAUGGAUCCAGGUUAUGUUUGGAUGUUGGAAGGCAGGGUAUAGGUUUAGAUGGAUCCAGGUUAUGUUUGGAUGUUGGAAGGCAGUGUAUAGGUUUAGAUGGAUCCAGGUUAUGUUUGGAUGUUGGAAGGCAGGGUAUAGGUUUAGAUGGAUCCAGGUUAUGUUUGGAUGUUGGAAGGCAGGGUAUAGGUUUAGAUGGAUCCAGGUUAUGUUUGGAUGUUGGAAGGCAGGGUAUAGGUUUAGAUGGAUCCAGGUUAUGUUUGGAUGUUGGAAGGCAGGGUAUAGGUUUAGAUGGA